Molecule: ribosomal RNA, 460 nt
Filed under: uncultured bacterium
Lineage: Bacteria
Description: partial 16S ribosomal RNA
Rfam family: Bacterial small subunit ribosomal RNA
Source: RNAcentral
CCUACGGGAGGCAGCAGUGAGGAAUAUUGGUCAAUGGCCGUAAGGCUGAACCAGCCAAGUAGCGUGAGGGAAGACUGUCCUAUGGGUUGUAAACCUCUUUUAUGCGGGGACAAAGACGUCCACGCGUGGACGUUUGCAUGUACCGCAUGAAUAAGGACCGGCUAACUCCGUGCCAGCAGCCGCGGUAAUACGGAAGGUCCGGGCGUUAUCCGGAUUUAUUGGGUUUAAAGGGAGCGUAGGCCGGUCUUUAAGGGUGCCGGGAAAUGUUGGGGCUCAACCCUGGGACGGCGGUGCAAACUGGAGGCCUUGAGUGGGCGGGAGGCAGGCGGAAUGCGUGGUGUAGCGGUGAAAUGCUUAGAUAUCGCGAAGAACCCCGAUUGCGAAGGCAGCCUGCCGCAGCGAUACUGACGCUGAGGCUCGAAAGCGCGGGUAUCGAACAGGAUUAGAUACCCCUGUAGUC